Molecule: long non-coding RNA, 596 nt
Filed under: Equus caballus (horse)
Lineage: Eukaryota; Metazoa; Chordata; Mammalia; Perissodactyla; Equidae
Description: lncRNA (ENSECAG00000059961.1)
Source: RNAcentral
UGCUUACUGUGAAUCAACUGUUCCUACCCACAGAAACCACAAUAAAGGCUCUUGUCCACAUUUUCCCCUUGUUCCCUCUGCCCCUAGGCUUACCCUGCUGCUUCCCCAUGUGGCCCUGCGUGAUGUGGCAUGCCCCCUCCUCUUGGGAACAAAAAGAAGCCUGUCCAUACCUGUUGCUCGCCUUGGUGAGAGGUUCAAAUGGGAAAAUCACUGGGAAAACACUUGGAGAACUCAACGCGCCAAGCGAAGGCACAGGUUCCGGUCGGAUCCCAGACACAGAUGUUUGCUCUACAAAUGUCCGUAGUUUGAGCCUCAGAGCAAACCUAGAUUCUAAUUCUGCUCUCUUGUUUCAUCCCUUCCUUCCUUCAUAUGUUCACUCAAUCAACACUAUUCUAGGCAUUGGAUAUACAGUGACAAACAAGCUAGACAAGGUCCCCACUUUCCAGAAGAACAUAGUCUAGGUGGAGCAACAGAAAAGAAGCAAAUAUAAAUACUUCCAGAGAGUAAUGAGUGAUAGGAAUUAAGCAAAGCACAGUUAUAGGAGAACCAGUUACUGGUUGUCAGGAGUGGGAUGUUACAUAAGGAGUUUAGGGGGC